AAAAAAACCUGGAAAUUGUGACCGAAAUUUGUGACAGAUUUUGUCUGUCACAAAUUGUGACGACAUAGUGACAGAAUUGUGACGGAAUAUCAAAUUUGUGACAGAUUUUGUGACGGAAAAAAGUAAUUAUCACUUACUCAUUUCAGAUUAUUUUUGUGACAAAAUUGUAACAUAUUUGUGAGGGCAAUUUGUGACGGCUUUAGAAUCUGUCACAAAAUUCACUAUUUGUGACGGAUUUGUGACGGAAAAUCCAUUGUGACGGAUCAGUCUGUCACAAAUUUUCUGAAGUUAUAAUCUGUCACAAUUCCGUCACAAAAUUGUGACGGAAUUGUGAUAAAUAUGCUGGUCACAAUGUAAUUAAGAGAAAUAUUUGGUCAUUUACGCGGUUAAUUUUCUUUUGCGCGGUUUGUUGUAUUUUUCAAGGGGGAAAUUUCCUAAUUUUUCAAAAUCGUUCUCUCACUUUGGCUAAAAAAGAGAUUGAAAAAAAAACCUAAUUACUCUCUCUUUGCAAAAAAAAAACCUAAUUACUCUCUCAAUCUCUCAAUAUCCCAGGAAGAACCGCAGGUACAGUUUCAGUCAUUCACUCAGAUAUAGAAACUCAAAGAGGCACUAAAAUUUGAUUUGGCUUACCAUUUAUGGAGAGAUGGCUGGUGAUAGAAGUUAAUUUGGCUAAAGAUCUCACCAUGUGGACCCUAAACACACUGAAAGCUUAAGCAUAUAUGUGCGCCAUUAUUAGGUGAAAAAGAAAGUAAGGUUGCUGUCGUGUUGUUCUUCGUCUUCUACUGCCGUGUUUGUCUUCCCUGCUGUAGCUGCUAUUUCUCUCCUCCUCUUCCAUACUGCCUCUACUUAUGUUGCCUUCUUCGUGUCGCCGAUGCUUUUAACAAACAGAGGUUUGUAUCAAUGUUUGUUCAUUGUUGACUUUAAUCAAUUGUUAAAUUCAAGUGCAUAGAGUU
This is a long non-coding RNA of Mercurialis annua (annual mercury), 953 nucleotides long. RefSeq lists it as uncharacterized. Lineage: Eukaryota; Viridiplantae; Streptophyta; Magnoliopsida; Malpighiales; Euphorbiaceae. The transcript has 4 exons. The record is from RefSeq and is a predicted model, not a curated record.